RNAcentral lists this long non-coding RNA (773 nucleotides) under Chlamydomonas reinhardtii. RNAcentral's name for it is "long non-coding RNA (CREI_LNC000800)". Lineage: Eukaryota; Viridiplantae; Chlorophyta; Chlorophyceae; Chlamydomonadales; Chlamydomonadaceae. The record is from RNAcentral.
GACGCCAGGCUAGCCAGGCCCGCUGCAGCCGCCAUCGCCGCCACGCUAGACCGCUGCUGUGCGGCGGCUAUGCUGCCGGCAGAACCUCCUGCACCGGCUGCUGCUGCGGCGGCGGCAACGGCAGCCGCGCGCCUCUGCAAACUCCUUUAUAUAUGUGAUAGGACAACUCUGACUCGCCCAAGACUAUCCCGUGUACGGCACGCUACCCCCCCCCCCAGCCGUACCACUCAGAGUCGAGGGUCGCAGAUUCGCAGUCGGGUACUUAUGCAACCAGCCAUGAAGGGCCCAAUACGCAAUUUCAGGUCAUCUUCGUUAGAAGGGCAUACCGUAAUCUCACGGAUAGGCGGAUGGAUUCCUGCCAUGGUGGACUCGUUGCGCGUUGGCUUGUUCAUCCCAAGCGAGUUGGCCCGGCGUGGAGAGGCGAGGUCGAGCGGGGUCAAGCCAGGGCCCUGGGGUCAGCCGUGGGUGUGUGCGCGUGUCAACCACGCAUAGGCCGCGGCACUUGCUGCAUGUUCUGCAGGAGGCGGAUGAUGCGAGACACCGGCGUCGGUCGACACCCGAGCUGCACAUGGCAGCUAGCGCCCGGCAUUCUGUACAUGGCCGUGUGACGGCUCGGUAAAACUCCGCACCGGUCGAACACGUGUCUCCAUACCAGUACAAAUUGCCCCAUUCAGCGAGCGCGUGGGCUGCACCCUACGGGACUUCACUUACCACUGUCCCCUCGGCCAUCGCACACCCAUUCAGCGAACACGUGGGCUGCUGGGAGAGGGCGC